GCCUGGGUGGCUCAGUCAGUUAAGCAUCUGACUCUUGGUCAUGAUCUCACAGUUCGUGGGUUCAAGCCCCAUAUCAGGCU
Molecule: transfer RNA, 80 nt
Filed under: Felis catus (domestic cat)
Lineage: Eukaryota; Metazoa; Chordata; Mammalia; Carnivora; Felidae
Also listed under: 4 other names
Rfam family: tRNA
About the family: Transfer RNA (tRNA) molecules are approximately 80 nucleotides in length. Their secondary structure includes four short double-helical elements and three loops (D, anti-codon, and T loops). Further hydrogen bonds mediate the characteristic L-shaped molecular structure. tRNAs have two regions of fundamental functional importance: the anti-codon, which is responsible for specific mRNA codon recognition, and the 3' end, to which the tRNAs corresponding amino acid is attached (by aminoacyl-tRNA synthetases). tRNAs cope with the degeneracy of the genetic code in two manners: having more than one tRNA (with a specific anti-codon) for a particular amino acid; and 'wobble' base-pairing, i.e. permitting non-standard base-pairing at the 3rd anti-codon position.
Source: Rfam by way of RNAcentral